This is an RNA transcript of Orussus abietinus, 2542 nucleotides long. It is a transcript of the gene named G patch domain-containing protein 4, with no coding region annotated. Lineage: Eukaryota; Metazoa; Arthropoda; Insecta; Hymenoptera; Orussidae. The transcript is spliced from 3 exons. The record is from RefSeq and is a predicted model, not a curated record.
UUGAUCUCCUUCGAUCUCCUCGUAGAUGCGUGAUGGCUGAUUUUGCGAAAGCCCAGCUUCUUAAGUACGGUUGGAAAGAAGGCCAGGGACUUGGUAAAAAUGAAAAUGGCAUCACGCAAGCAUUGAAGCCGAGAUUGAAAUUUGAUACCACGGGCAUGGGUCAUGAUCCGGGUAAAGAGUUUUCUUGCAACUGGUGGGAAUCCAUGUACAAUAAGGCACUGAAUAACGUCUCGGUAAAUAGCAACGUCGAUGGAAUUUCCGUCGCAUCGGUCAAAGAUACUUCAGUUGAUAUUAUGAGCAAGCCAGGAUUAACGAGUGGCAAAAAGGAUGGGAAAUAUGCUAGUUUUUUGAGAGCCUCCGUAUUACAAGAUGGUCGUCUCUUUCCAGAAAGUGCGUCUGGUGAAGCCACGAAUGAGGAAAUUGAAAAUAAAACACCAUUUUCAAAUCUUACAGACGAGAAACUUUUUAAAAUAUGUGGCGGCAGGACUGCACAUAAAGGAGCCAGGUUCCAGUUAACGAUGAAAGGGAAGCUAAGAAGAAUAGCGCUGCAGGACAAGGAAUUAUUGGACAGUAUGAUGCCUAAUACGUCGAAGCAAGUGUCUUAUCAAGACACGUCUGGUCGAGUAAGUCUUACAAAUGGACUUUCGAACCAGAAUGACAUUCCAGACUCUCUUGAAACGGAUGAUAAUGCCAAUGCAAUAUCACCUGCAUUGCCCAUGAUACGACACGUUAAUAUCAAGCCAUCAAAAAAUGCAAUAAAAAAGCAGAGGAAAUCUAUAAAUGACUUAUCAAAUCGAUUGAUCGCUACAUGCAAAAUUGAGGAGGGAUCUGAAGAGCCAUCACCUUAUACUACCGAAUUUACCUAUAAGAAAUUAGAAAAAAUUGAUAGAAAGCAAAGUAAAGCUGAUAAGAAAACUGAAAAUGCUGACGAUGAUAAAUCAGCUGAGGGAAAACAGCUACUAAAUGAAUUUAAUGAAUUGCAAAAGAAGAAAAAACGUGUUCCUUUUAGUUGGUCGUCCGUUUCGGAAGAUGUUUUGAACGGUGACCUCGAAAAUGACACGCAAGAUGACUUUCAAGUUAUGACCCGAAGAAAGAGGAAAAGGCAUGCAAAGAAGAAGCAUCAGGAUGCAGAUGUAGGUACAGAUAAACCUGAAAACACCCCAACCUUGAUUCAAGACGCACCAGUGAAAAAGAAAUUGAAACAUGCGAAAAGGAGGAAAGGAAAUGACGACACUUUGGCCAAGAUGUUAAAUUGUGUUAACAUAUCAAAUGAACUAUCAGUGAAUGCAAAGAGCAAUAAAGAAGGAGCUUUAGAUAAGGAAGAUUGGUCUACAAAGCGAAAGGCUAAAAAUAAGAAAAAUAAGAAAAAAAAUUCAAAGUCAUUGAGACAAGUAACAAAACCUGUUAUAGACAAUUUGGCCAAUAAAUUCAAGGCUUUCUAUUUCAAACCCAGCAACGAAGUUAUGACAAAGUCUAGUAUAGGCCAUCUGAUGAAAAACUUGAUGGCGGUGAAUCUCACUGAAAAUGUGACCGAGUCGAAAAAGAAGUGCAAAAAACGGAGAGGAUCUUGUAAGAAGAAGAAACAGAAGAAUAAGGGGAGCUUGACCGAGAAAAAGAUAGACGGGUAAUAUUUUGUUGCCGUAUGUUUUUGAACGUGCACUCCGGACAUUACUGUUGCAAGUGCAUGGGAACGCUAACACUGCGGGGUCAUCAUGGUUCUAAACUAUUAAUGAACUGUAGCCUAUGUAUUAAUGCAUCUUUAGGUAUACACUUUGUAAUUGGUCCAGGCAGACCAAUCGACUGAUCAAACGAAUGUCCCCCAAAAGCUAUAUUGUACAUAAAAAGCCCUCAUAAUAUGAAACACAUUGCGUUAGAAACUGCUAGACCUUGUUUCGCAAGGAUUGAAAUAACAACUAAUGCUUUAUUUUCUACUGUAUAAACGGCAAAUAAAGAAGGAACCUUAUACAAAAUGAGCCUAUCGUGCUGCCUCGUUGUCUUCAUAGACACCUCUUCUUUUUUUAUUAAUUUAAGUACAAGUAUUCCAAUCGAUUUAUUCGUAUGGUACAAGAGUACAUACUCGACCAAAUACAUACACAACUCCAUGGGCGUUUAGCGCAUGUCUCUUAGGAUGGUUAAAAAUAAAUAAAUAUAUAUAUAUAUGUACAUAUACAUAAAUUUUCACGCCGAGAUUCUUGACACAAGUAGCAAAAAUUUCACGUCUUUAUGCGGUUCAUAAUAAGCGCGUUUACGCCGCGCCGAUACAUUCAUCGAAUGACAGUGUCCUAAUAUGAUAUAAUCCGAGCCGCCCAUCCUGUUCGCCAUAAAUAUAGCACCAAAUUCAAUAACAAUCGCCCUUCCACCAUUUGCAUUAAUGAGCACUCAUCCUAACUGCCUUGACCUUGAUUAAGGUCAUAUGAAAUAGUCAUUCUAUACAUAUCAAGACGUGAAAGUAUUUAUGACAUUUUUCUGGGUGCACGGAAUCAUUUGAAACGUUAACACGUGAUUAUGGAGGCCCUAAGGAAGAACGCGAUGUUCGUGAAAU